This 335-nucleotide ribosomal RNA is filed under the name uncultured bacterium. Its description in RNAcentral is "bacterial SSU rRNA". It matches the Rfam family "Bacterial small subunit ribosomal RNA", at positions 8 to 334 of the family's 1533-position model. The record is from RNAcentral.
AGGGUUUGAUUAUGGCUCAGGAUGAACGCUAGCUACAGGCUUAACACAUGCAAGUCGAGGGGCAGCGGGAAGUCAGCUUGCUGACUUUGCCGGCGACCGGCGCACGGGUGAGUAACACGUAUCCAACCUUCCCGUUACUCUGGAAUAGCCUUUCGAAAGAAAGAUUAAUACCGGAUAGUAUCGAGAGAUUGCAUGAUAACCCGAUUAAAGAUUCAUCGGUAACGGAUGGGGAUGCGUUCCAUUAGGCAGUUGGCGGGGUAACGGCCCACCAAACCGACGAUGGAUAGGGGUUCUGAGAGGAAGGUCCCCCACAUUGGAACUGAGACACGGUCCAA